GCUUGUCUCAAAGAUUAAGCCAUGCAUGUCUAAGUAUAACUCUUUUACUUUGAAAACUGCGAACGGCUCAUUAUAUCAGUUAUAGUUUCUUUGAUAGUCCCUUACUACUUGGAUACCCGUAGUAAUUCUAGAGCUAAUACAUGCAUCAAUACCCAACUGUUCGCGGAAGGGUAGUAUUUAUUAGGUAUAGACCAACCCUCCUCGGAGGUGCUUUGGUGAUUCAUAAUAACUUAUCGGAGCUCAUGGCCUUGUGCCGGAGCCAGGUCAUUCAAAUUUCUGCCCUAUCAGCUUUCGAUGGUAGUGUAGUGGACUACCAUGGCUUUAACGGGUGACGGAGAAUUAGGGUUCGAUUCCGGAGAGGGAGCCUGAGAAACGGCUACCACAUCCAAGGAAGGCAGCAGG
RNAcentral lists this ribosomal RNA (402 nucleotides) under Cyclotella bodanica. RNAcentral describes it as "partial small subunit ribosomal RNA". It matches the Rfam family "Eukaryotic small subunit ribosomal RNA", at positions 30 to 432 of the family's 1831-position model. Lineage: Eukaryota; Bacillariophyta; Thalassiosirophyceae; Thalassiosirales; Thalassiosiraceae. The record is from RNAcentral.